Molecule: ribosomal RNA, 240 nt
Filed under: uncultured bacterium
Lineage: Bacteria
Description: partial 16S ribosomal RNA
Rfam family: Bacterial small subunit ribosomal RNA
Source: RNAcentral
AGCGGAGGGAACAUGUGGUUUAAUUCGAUGAUACGCGAGGAACCUUACCCGGGCUUGAACUGCAGGAGAACGAUUCAGAGAUGAUGAGGUCCUUCGGGACUCCUGUGGAGGUGCUGCAUGGUUGUCGUCAGCUCGUGCCGUGAGGUGUCGGCUUAAGUGCCAUAACGAGCGCAACCCCUCUCCGUAGUUGCCAUCGGGUAAUGCCGGGCACUCUGCGGACACUGCCACCGUAAGGUGUGA